CUAAAAUCAUCAUGCGGAGGAAAUUCAAGGAAUAACUCAAAGUUAAAAUACAAUGGAUUUGGAUAUAAAUUGCGCAAGGCAUGAAGCCGGAAAAAUACUUCCCACAUGCUGUUCCCAGAUCAUCAUUGUCUGAAACCAUGGCCAUGAAAGGUAGCCAUGAUAAAGCAUCGGGUUUAUAGAAGAACUGUCAAAUCAAAAUCAAGAUAACAAAAGAUUUCCAACUGUGAAGGCAACAAGUCCUCUCAUCUGAAAUCUGUCAGUCAAGCACAUUAGUUGCACACAAGUUGGAAAUAUUCACUUCUUACCUGGGAG
This 312-nucleotide unclassified non-coding RNA is filed under the name Hevea brasiliensis (rubber tree). Lineage: Eukaryota; Viridiplantae; Streptophyta; Magnoliopsida; Malpighiales; Euphorbiaceae. The record is from RNAcentral.